Molecule: long non-coding RNA, 1171 nt
Organism: Artibeus jamaicensis (Jamaican fruit-eating bat)
Lineage: Eukaryota; Metazoa; Chordata; Mammalia; Chiroptera; Phyllostomidae
Exons: 3
Source: RefSeq, a predicted model, not a curated record
GUCCUGCGUGUGUCUCCAGAGCCCAAAUGUGGAAGGAAGGAAGGGACGGAGGAGGAAGGGUUGCACCUUCUCUUUAGGGGACCAGGCGCCUCUCUAAACUCACUCACGUGACUGGCCUAUGCUGGAUCUUCCUCCGGGAAGCAAGCCCUUACUUAUCACAGACUCUUCCAGGGUCCACAGAAUAAGAAUGACAGGUCAGAGCAAAUGGAGAAAACCAUGACAAGUGGAGAGAGAGAGACACCGUGAAAGAAGGAAAAAGCUUUACAUCUUAGCACCUUGAGUGACAGCUUGUUUCUUGCAUCUGGAACAAGCGGCCCUGCACUGUUAUCUGCAGUGAGCCCUGCAAAGCGCAGAACCAGCCCUAUGUCUGCAUCGAAUGCUGGAGACGGUGGGAACAGCCAGACAAAAACCUCUACUUUCAUGGACCAGGCGUUCUAGUGGGCAGACAGACAAAGAGUGAGUAGUAGACAUGCAAGAUGACAUGAGCUGUGGAGAAAAAUUAAGGUAGGGAAACUGGAGAGGUUGGAGGAUUUGUGGUUAUUUAUUUGUCACAUGUAUCAAAUGCCUACUAUGUGCUGGAGGAGAUUUUAACCUCAUUUCAAGUUGUUUGAGUAAAAGGGGGCUAAACAAUCUCAUGGAAGGACUUUCAUUGCCCAGUGUGGGUCAUGUGCCUAUUCCUAGACCAAUCACCACAGACAUGGGGAGGAGGUACUACAUGCUCAGUUGGCUUGGGUAACACAUGGAUCCUUCCCAGGUUGGGAGGAGACAGGGCUGGACGCAUAUUUCUAGGCCCAGAUGUUUAGGGCUGGGAUGAAGGAUGAGGUGAAGUUAUGGGCAAAGGCUAUGCUUCAGACUUAAAUGAGAAUUCACAGAGGAUUCGCAUUGGAGCUGGGGUUUUGAGGGGUGAGUAGGAGUUUGCCUGGUGAUAAAGACAAAGAGAAGAAGACAUAGCAUCAGUGAGAGAGCAUGGCUCUCAGAGGGGGCAGUUAUGGAGGCCAAAUCCUGAAGAGCCUUCCACGCCAGGCCAGGAGAGUGGGAUCUUCAUCCCAAUGCAAAAACAGGAAUAGGAAGUGUUUCCAGCAGGGGAGGUGUGUACCAGGUCUGUGAGUGAGGAAGAACAUCCUAAGGUGUAUUGCGGGUGGUUUACAUGAAGAGUUAGCAAACUAUGACC